UGCCAGCCGCCGCGGUAAUACGGAGGGUGCAAGCGUUACUCGGAAUUACUGGGCGUAAAGAGCGUGUAGGCGGAUAGAUAAGUCAGAUGUGAAAGCCCACGGCUCAACCGUGGAAGUGCAUUUGAAACUGUUUAGCUUGAGUUCGGGAGAGGAAAGUGGAAUUCCCGGUGUAGAGGUGGAAUUCGUAGAUAUCGGGAAGAACACCGGAGGCGAAGGCGGCUUUCUGGACCGAUACUGACGCUGAGACGCGAAAGCGUGGGGAGCAAACAGGAUUAGAUA
RNAcentral lists this ribosomal RNA (279 nucleotides) under uncultured bacterium. RNAcentral's name for it is "partial 16S ribosomal RNA". It matches the Rfam family "Bacterial small subunit ribosomal RNA", at positions 506 to 784 of the family's 1533-position model. The record is from RNAcentral.